AGUAUGCAGAGGUUGGAACUGCAAGGUAAUGACCCCUCCGGUGCUCGAGCAUUGUUGGCACGUGAGCAGUUUAUGCUUAACGCUAACUGGCCUGUGGACAGGCCUGUCUAUGGUGAGGGGGUGGGCGCUGAUGCUGAUGCUGAUGAUGAUGAUGAUGUUGAUGAUGAGGCUACCGGUUCUGAGGCCGGUAGCGAGGAGGAGUCCUGAGCCCUUAGUGGGUUAAGUUUUUGUGUGUUUUCAAUUUUUAUGUUAUUUUUAUUUGUAUUUUCGGAUUUUGUAUUUUGACCAUGGUGUUGUACUAUUGGGGUGUUUUGUCCCCCAUGAACAAAUUUAUAUUUUAUGUUAAUGUUAUUUAUUUAUGUUUUUAAUUUUGUGUGUUUAAUAAAUUUUUGGUUGAUUGAGUGGCAAACCCUUCUAGAUUGGUUGCUCCUCA
This 433-nucleotide long non-coding RNA is filed under the name Lathyrus oleraceus (garden pea). RNAcentral describes it as "Pisum sativum (pea) long non-coding RNA (PSAT_LNC013775)". Lineage: Eukaryota; Viridiplantae; Streptophyta; Magnoliopsida; Fabales; Fabaceae. The record is from RNAcentral.